CAAAUACUCUCUCCGUUUCAAAAUUCUUGUCUUAGAUUUAUUUAAAUAUAAAUGCAUCUAGUCACGUUUUAGUAUUUAGAUACAUUCAUUUUUAAACAAAUUUAAGACAAGAAUUUUAGGAUGGAGGGAGUACUAA
Molecule: non-coding RNA, 136 nt
Organism: Hordeum vulgare subsp. vulgare (domesticated barley)
Lineage: Eukaryota; Viridiplantae; Streptophyta; Magnoliopsida; Poales; Poaceae
Source: Rfam